GGCUAAGCGCCGUUGUUUCUGGCACACUUAUUCAAAAUUUAAAGGGCUGAUUGAAGCAUCGGAAUACUUUUGGCCUCAUAAUUAUAGAAUCCAAACGUAAAACGGCACAACCAUCUGAUCGUAUGGACAUAGAAGGUGAAGAUGCUUUCCCGUCAAACGUUGGACCUCAGAAGGAUGUUCAACAGAUAAAAUUGGGUCAAUAUACCAGAGAUUUUUCGUGGCUUGGAUGCCCUUGGACUUGUAAGCGAAAGCGCAGACACUAUCCAUCAU
This 270-nucleotide unclassified non-coding RNA is filed under the name Hevea brasiliensis (rubber tree). The record is from RNAcentral. Lineage: Eukaryota; Viridiplantae; Streptophyta; Magnoliopsida; Malpighiales; Euphorbiaceae.